RNAcentral lists this transfer RNA (63 nucleotides) under Uperoleia trachyderma (blacksoil toadlet). Its description in RNAcentral is "partial tRNA-Gln". It matches the Rfam family "tRNA", at positions 1 to 63 of the family's 71-position model. From Rfam's summary of the family: Transfer RNA (tRNA) molecules are approximately 80 nucleotides in length. The record is from RNAcentral. Lineage: Eukaryota; Metazoa; Chordata; Amphibia; Anura; Myobatrachidae.
UAGAGAGUGGUAAAAUGGGAUUACGGGGGGCUUUGAUUCUCCAGAUGUAGGUUCGAUUCCUAC